This 333-nucleotide long non-coding RNA is filed under the name Eucalyptus grandis. Its description in RNAcentral is "long non-coding RNA (EGRA_LNC000351)". Lineage: Eukaryota; Viridiplantae; Streptophyta; Magnoliopsida; Myrtales; Myrtaceae. The record is from RNAcentral.
UCCUCAAACCUAUCUCCUCCUCCCUCCUCCUCCUCCUCCUCCUCUUCCUCCGCCGCCGCCGUCAACCACCAUGUCGGUCAAGGGUGGUGGCUGUGGGAAGCAUGAAAGCAAGUGGCGGCGGCGCGGCAAGCGCAUCUUCGUUGGCCUCCUCAUCUUCAACUUCAUCCUCCUCCUAACCUUCCUCCUCGCUUGGGCCAUCAUCCAGCCCCACAAGCCCCGCUUCGUCCUCCAGGACGUCACCGUCUACACCUUCAACGCCUCCGUCCCCAGCCUCCUCACCAUCAACUUCCAGGUCACCAUCUACUCCCGCAACCCCAACGACAAGCUCGGCAU